GACGAACGCUGGCGGCGUGCUUAACACAUGCAAGUCGAACGGAAAGGCCCUGCUUUUGUGGGGUGCUCGAGUGGCGAACGGGUGAGUAACACGUGAGUAACCUGGCCUUGACUUUGGGAUAACUUCAGGAAACUUGGGCUAAUACCGGAUAGGAGCUCCUGCUGCAUGGUGGGGGUUGGAAAUUUUCGGCGGUUGGGGAUGGACUCGCGGCUUAUCAGCUUGUUGGUGGGGUAGUGGCUUACCAAGGCUUUGACGGGUACCCGGCCUGAGAGGGUGACCGGUCACAUUGGGACUGAUAUACGGCACAGAAGUCUAGGGGAGGCAGCAGUGGGGAAUAUUGCACAACGGGCGGCAGCCUGAUGCAGCAACGCCGCGUGCGGGAUGACGGCCUUCGGGUUGUAGACCGCUUUCGCCUAUGACGAAGCGUGAGUGACGGUAAUGGAUAAAGAAGCACCGGCUAACUACGUG
RNAcentral lists this ribosomal RNA (468 nucleotides) under uncultured bacterium. RNAcentral describes it as "partial 16S ribosomal RNA". It matches the Rfam family "Bacterial small subunit ribosomal RNA", at positions 28 to 507 of the family's 1533-position model. The record is from RNAcentral.